This 523-nucleotide long non-coding RNA is filed under the name Dasypus novemcinctus (nine-banded armadillo). RNAcentral describes it as "lncRNA (ENSDNOG00000051450.1)". The record is from RNAcentral. Lineage: Eukaryota; Metazoa; Chordata; Mammalia; Cingulata; Dasypodidae.
AUGCAACAGGGUUGCCUGGGUAGGCAUGGAGGGAGGAAGAAGGCCAGCUCCCUGGGCUCCAGAAUAGGCUGCGGCAGCCCUGUUGGCAAUGUGGUCGCCUUUUCUCAGCCAGGUCAUUUCCUCUUCUGCUUGGACAUGCGGCUCCUCAUUGCCUCAGGAUGUCUUUAUCCUGCAUAUUCACUUUCCAGGGACCUAUGGAGGGGAGACCCGGGCAUAUGGGCUCAGCCCUGCAGUCAGCAUGGCCCUGUUCCUUGCCCGGGGAGCCCCCAAUCGCCCACAGCGGGGCAUUUUUCCUCCGGAAGGGCACCUGGCAGCCUGAGAGCCCGGCUCCCCUCCGCUGGGAUUGUACUGCCUGGAAUAUCCUUCGGCUCCUUGCUUUCCCAUUCUUGGCCUUGAUGUGAUGCUCCAAAAUGUCCUCUGAGGCUCUGAGCUGUGUCUUCCAAGAGAGUGGGGAGCUGGCCUGAGAUCUGAACAAGUGCCUGGGUUUUAACGUACCGAUAGAAAAAUUAAUUGGCAAAGCCUA